This 446-nucleotide ribosomal RNA is filed under the name Neisseria mucosa. RNAcentral's name for it is "bacterial SSU rRNA". It matches the Rfam family "Bacterial small subunit ribosomal RNA", at positions 30 to 470 of the family's 1533-position model. The record is from RNAcentral. Lineage: Bacteria; Pseudomonadati; Pseudomonadota; Betaproteobacteria; Neisseriales; Neisseriaceae.
AUUGAACGCUGGCGGCAUGCUUUACACAUGCAAGUCGGACGGCAGCACAGAGAAGCUUGCUUCUUGGGUGGCGAGUGGCGAACGGGUGAGUAACAUAUCGGAACGUACCGAGCAGUGGGGGAUAACUAAUCGAAAGAUUAGCUAAUACCGCAUAUAUUCUGAGGAAGAAAGCAGGGGACCAUUUGGCCUUGCGCUGUUUGAGCGGCCGAUAUCUGAUUAGCUAGUUGGUGGGGUAAAGGCCUACCAAGGCGACGAUCAGUAGCGGGUCUGAGAGGAUGAUCCGCCACACUGGGACUGAGACACGGCCCAGACUCCUACGGGAGGCAGCAGUGGGGAAUUUUGGACAAUGGGCGCAAGCCUGAUCCAGCCAUGCCGCGUGUCUGAAGAAGGCCUUCGGGUUGUAAAGGACUUUUGUCAGGGAAGAAAAGGGCGGGGUUAAUACCCCU